Molecule: ribosomal RNA, 332 nt
Filed under: uncultured Planctomycetales bacterium
Lineage: Bacteria; Pseudomonadati; Planctomycetota; Planctomycetia; Planctomycetales
Description: bacterial SSU rRNA
Rfam family: Bacterial small subunit ribosomal RNA
Source: RNAcentral
UGUGUAGGUACCUACCCCCCGAUCUGGGAUAGCUGCGGGAAACUGCAGGUAAUACCGGAUAAUGUCUUCGGACCAAAGGUGUGAUUCCGUCAGGGGAGGGGCCUGCAUCCUAUUAGCUUGUUGGUGAGGUAAUGGCUCACCAAGGCAACGAUGGGUAGCGGGUGUGAGAGCAUGACCCGCGUCAUUGGGACUGAGACACUGCCCAGACAUCUACGGAUGGCUGCAGUCGAGAAUCUUCGGCAAUGGGCGAAAGCCUGACCGAGCGACGCCGCGUGCGGGAUGAAGGCCCUCGGGUUGUAAACCGCUGUCGUUGGGGAGGAAAUGCAAAAGGG